Molecule: long non-coding RNA, 255 nt
Organism: Mangifera indica (mango)
Lineage: Eukaryota; Viridiplantae; Streptophyta; Magnoliopsida; Sapindales; Anacardiaceae
Exons: 3
Source: RefSeq, a predicted model, not a curated record
CUUGGUUUUCUUGGUUGUGCCGGAAAAACCAAGAAAAACCUUCUAACGGAGGGAACGUUUUCUUGGUUUAAGUUUAUGGAGACCGUUUGGUGGGUGUUUGCGCAGCUUUACCUAAGGUCAUGUCAUGCAGUACUGGCGGUAAGACACCCCUGUCUAACUUUGAAGCUGGUCAGAACUAUAAGGAUCGCCUGAUAAAUGAUGAAUAUCAUAAUAUGGAUUCAGGAAUAACACAAAGUUCAAAUCUGCCGCUACAGG